Molecule: RNA transcript, 3135 nt
Organism: Pan troglodytes (chimpanzee)
Lineage: Eukaryota; Metazoa; Chordata; Mammalia; Primates; Hominidae
Gene: CHKA
Gene name: choline kinase alpha
Exons: 13
Source: RefSeq, marked provisional
AAUCAGUGGCGAGCGCGAGGGCGGGCUGUGACGCGGCCGGCGCUCCUCGUGCGGCGGCGGCAGAGGAGUGAGUGCAGCGGCCAGCAGCGCAUCCCCGCUCCACAGUCUCCACAGUCGCCGCAGUCGCCGCAGCCGCCCCGCGCGCCCAACCGCCGCGGCCCCCUGCCCCGCCGGCCUGCCAGUGAGAGAGCGGCGAGCGGGCGCCCGGCCGGACCCUGAGCCUAGUCCUCUCGCGCUGCGGCCGCCCGCGCCUCCUCGGCCGCCUGUCGGGCAUGAAAACCAAAUUCUGCACCGGGGGCGAGGCGGAGCCCUCGCCGCUCGGGCUGCUGCUGAGCUGCGGUAGCGGCAGCGCGGCCUCGGCGCCCGGCGUGGGGCAGCAGCGCGACGCCGCCAGCGACCUCGAGUCCAAGCAGCUGGGCGGCCAACAGCCGCCGCUCGCGCUGCCCCCUCCGCCGCCGCUGCCGCUGCCGCUGCCCCAGUCCCCGCCGCCGCAGCCGCCCGCAGAUGAGCAGCCGGAGCCCCGGACGCGGCGCAGGGCCUAUCUGUGGUGCAAGGAGUUCCUGCCCGGCGCCUGGCGGGGCCUCCGCGAGGACGAGUUCCACAUCAGUGUCAUCAGAGGCGGCCUUAGCAACAUGCUGUUCCAGUGCUCCCUACCUGACACCACAGCCACCCUUGGCGAUGAGCCUCGGAAAGUGCUCCUGCGGCUGUAUGGAGCGAUUUUGCAGAUGAGGUCCUGUAAUAAAGAGGGAUCCGAACAAGCUCAGAAAGAAAAUGAAUUUCAAGGGGCCGAGGCCAUGGUUCUGGAGAGCGUUAUGUUUGCCAUUCUCGCAGAGAGGUCACUUGGGCCAAAACUCUAUGGCAUCUUUCCCCAAGGCCGACUGGAGCAGUUCAUCCCGAGCCGGCGAUUAGAUACUGAAGAAUUAAGUUUGCCAGAUAUUUCUGCAGAAAUCGCCGAGAAAAUGGCUACAUUUCAUGGUAUGAAAAUGCCAUUCAAUAAGGAACCAAAAUGGCUUUUUGGCACAAUGGAAAAGUAUCUAAAGGAAGUGCUGAGAAUUAAAUUUACUGAGGAAUCCAGAAUUAAAAAGCUCCACAAAUUGCUCAGUUACAAUCUGCCCUUGGAACUGGAAAACCUGAGAUCAUUGCUUGAAUCUACUCCAUCUCCAGUUGUAUUUUGUCAUAAUGACUGUCAAGAAGGUAAUAUCUUGUUGCUGGAAGGCCGAGAGAAUUCUGAAAAACAGAAACUGAUGCUCAUUGAUUUCGAAUACAGCAGUUACAAUUACAGCAGCUACAGUCCUGCUCCCUCAGCAAGUCCAGAUGGCAACAGGAGUGGCGUGCUCGGAACUCAGCCUUUCUUUCUUCUGCAGUCAGGGAGCCUCCAGGCAUACGGUUUGCCUCAUUGUGUGCACUGUCUUAUGUCUUAUUUCAGGGGAUUCGACAUUGGAAAUCACUUCUGUGAGUGGAUGUAUGAUUAUAGCUAUGAAAAAUACCCUUUUUUCAGAGCAAACAUCCGGAAGUAUCCCACCAAGAAACAACAGCUCCAUUUUAUUUCCAGUUACUUGCCUGCAUUCCAAAAUGACUUUGAAAACCUCAGUACUGAAGAAAAAUCCAUUAUAAAAGAAGAAAUGUUGCUUGAAGUUAAUAGGUUUGCCCUUGCAUCUCAUUUCCUCUGGGGACUGUGGUCCAUUGUACAAGCCAAGAUUUCAUCUAUUGAAUUUGGGUACAUGUACCUGAAUGUGGUGACCUGGUGGCAUCAGGACAGUGUGGCUCAGCCCAGGAAGCCGGGGGAGAAGCCGCUGUCACUGAUGCUGUGGUUGCCUUUGGAGGUUGCCCUCACUUCCAGGCCAGCUGACCUUGCCUCCCCUGCUUCAGAGAAGUGCCUGCAAUCCUGAUGGGGAAUGUAGGCAUCUGCACCCUCGAAGUCCAGCUCUGACCUCAGUCCCUUCUGACACGGGACAGACUACGCCCAAGCAAGGUUUGAUGCCUAUUUCCACCAGAAGAGGAAGCUUGGGGUGUGACUGUGGGGAGGACUCCAUCCACCUCAUCACUGGACUGCAUGGGGAGGCAGCAGAGCGGGGUCCCCUCUGUGCUUCGACUACUGCUCCUGUGGCAGGAGGCUUUGGGUGGCUCACUACUGAACACGUGUAUGAUACUAAAGACGGUAUUAAAAUGGAGCGACGUUUAUUUCAUCUCUUGUUUACGAUUUCACUAGGACUCAGAAACGAGAUCGGGAAGCAGAAAUAUAGUGCAAUAGUGCAACAUCUCUGAAUCCUUUUAAUCUAGAGAAGGCAUUUCAUAUUUGGGGGCUAAGGUUUCCAGUCAGAUGAGGCAAACAGCAAGAGUAAGCAGUGUUACUUGCAGGUACUUUGGUUAAUGUUGAUUUAAAUUUUCAUGAAUGUGCUGGUGAACACUGUGACCAGGCUUUUGUAGAUGGCUAUGUGUUAUAGACGGUGCUCACUCCCAAGGGACGGCAAGUGAGCAGAGAUGUACUGCGAAGUCGCCAGUCACUGCUGCAAGGUGGCCUCUGCCUGGGGCCUCCGGAAGCUGCUCCUCUACCCUCUUGGUCCCAUGGCUGAAGCUGGAGCAGCGGAUUGCUCUGGAGCAGCCAAGGCCGCCUGCGUGUGGAGCAGAGCUCUCCCCUCCUGCUGGGCGUGUGUGACACUGAUGAGUUUCACUGUACUGCAUGUGACUUCUCCCCUGCCCUUCCUCCUGAUGGAGUGCAGACAGCCAUGCGUGGCCACGGGGGCAGUGUGAGGACCUCCGUGUCUCCCGGCUCCCCUCCCAGGGGAGCCAGCUGCUUGACCUAGCUCUUUGGGCCUCUCCUGCCCUCUGCUCUGCCUGGAGUGUCGGAUCCUGUGAGUAGGCUGGGCCGCCCCUGGGCAGGGUUCUCCAAGGGCCCGGUUUCCCGGCCCUUACCUUUCCUGAUGCCCCUGACAUCAUCAUUCUUGUGGGAGACAGCAGCCUGUAUGUGGUGUGGGGCGUGGAUCGAGUGUAGCUGUGAAAUCCAUAUAUAUGAAAUGUCCCGCGGGAUACAGUCUUAGCUGACUUUUUUUUACUCUGAACUCUGAAUUGUUUUUUGUGCAUAUAUUUCUGCUACCACAGAGAUUGUACUAUACAAAUAAAAAAAUAAAAACCCAA